RNAcentral lists this ribosomal RNA (460 nucleotides) under uncultured bacterium. RNAcentral's name for it is "partial 16S ribosomal RNA". It matches the Rfam family "Bacterial small subunit ribosomal RNA", at positions 338 to 795 of the family's 1533-position model. The record is from RNAcentral.
CCUACGGGAGGCAGCAGUGAGGAAUAUUGGUCAAUGGACGAGAGUCUGAACCAGCCAAGUAGCGUGAAGGAUGACUGCCCUAUGGGUUGUAAACUUCUUUUAUAAAGGAAUAAAAUGAGGCACGUGUGCCUUUUUGCAUGUACUUUAUGAAUAAGGAUCGGCUAACUCCGUGCCAGCAGCCGCGGUAAUACGGAGGAUCCGAGCGUUAUCCGGAUUUAUUGGGUUUAAAGGGAGCGUAGAUGGGUUGUUCAGUCUGUUGUGAAAGUUUGCGGCUCAACCGUAAAAUUGCAAUUGAUACUGGCAGUCUUGAGUACAGUUGAGGUAGGCGGAAUUCGUGGUGUAGCGGUGAAAUGCUUAGAUAUCACGAAGAACCCCGAUUGCGAAGGCAGCUUACGAAACUGUGACUGACAUUGAUGCUCGAAAGUGUGGGUAUCAAACAGGAUUAGAUACCCCUGUAGUC